Molecule: ribosomal RNA, 166 nt
Filed under: Lanzia sp.
Lineage: Eukaryota; Fungi; Ascomycota; Leotiomycetes; Helotiales; Rutstroemiaceae
Description: partial large subunit ribosomal RNA
Rfam family: Eukaryotic large subunit ribosomal RNA
Source: RNAcentral
CGGCAAAAGCUCAAAUUUGAAAUCUGGCUCUUUCAGGGUCCGAGUUGUAAUUUGUAGAAGAUGUUUCGGGUGUGGUUCCGGUCUAAGUUCCUUGGAACAGGACGUCAUAGAGGGUGAGAAUCCCGUAUGUGACCGGUUACUUUCGCCCAUGUGAAACUCUUUCGAC